GACGAACGCUGGCGGCGUGCUUAACACAUGCAAGUCGAACGGAAAGGCCCCUUCGGGGGUACUCGAGUGGCGAACAGGUGGGUAACACGUGAGUAACCUGCCCUUGACUUCGGGAUAACUUCAGGAAACUGGGGCUAAUACCGGAUAGGAAUCCUUGCUGCAUGGUGGGGGUUGGAAAGCUUCGGCGGUUUUGGAUGGACUCGCGGCUUAUCCGCUUGUUGGUGUGGUAGUGGCUUACCAAGGCUUUGACGGGUAGCCGGCCCGGGGGGGCGACCGGCCACAGUGGGACUGAGACAGGGCCCCGACUCCUACGGGAGGCAGCAGUGGGGAAUAUUGCACUAUGGGCGGAAGCCUGAUGCAGCAACGCCGCGUGCGGGAUGACGGCCUUCGGGUUGGAAACCGCUUUCAGCAGGGGCGAAGCUUGUGGUGACGGUACCUGCAGAAGAAGCACCGGCUAACUACGUG
RNAcentral lists this ribosomal RNA (465 nucleotides) under uncultured bacterium. RNAcentral describes it as "partial 16S ribosomal RNA". It matches the Rfam family "Bacterial small subunit ribosomal RNA", at positions 28 to 507 of the family's 1533-position model. The record is from RNAcentral.